CGUGUAGGCGGUCUUAUAAGUCUGAUGUGAAAGCCCUGGGCUCAACCCAGGAAGUGCAUUGGAUACUGUAAGACUUGAAUACGGGAGAGGGCAGUGGAAUUCCUAGUGUAGGAGUGAAAUCCGUAGAUAUUAGGAGGAACACCGGUGGCGAAGGCGGCUGCCUGGACCGAUAUUGACGCUGAGACGCGAAAGCGUGGGUAGCAAACAG
Molecule: ribosomal RNA, 208 nt
Filed under: uncultured delta proteobacterium
Lineage: Bacteria; Deltaproteobacteria
Description: partial 16S ribosomal RNA
Rfam family: Bacterial small subunit ribosomal RNA
Source: RNAcentral